AUCCAGCUGAUGAGUCCUAAAUAGAACGAGAUACACCUCCUGGAU
This 45-nucleotide non-coding RNA is filed under the name Schistosoma margrebowiei. Lineage: Eukaryota; Metazoa; Platyhelminthes; Trematoda; Strigeidida; Schistosomatidae. The record is from RNAcentral.